GAUGAACGCUGGCGGCGUGCCUAAUACAUGCAAGUCGAGCGAACAGACGAGGAGCUUGCUCCUCUGAUGUUAGCGGCGGACGGGUGAGUAACACGUGGAUAACCUACCUAUAAGACUGGGAUAACUUCGGGAAACCGGAGCUAAUACCGGAUAACAUGUUGAACCGCAUGGUUCAACAGUGAAAGACGGUUUUGCUGUCACUUAUAGAUGGAUCCGCGCCGCAUUAGCUAGUUGGUAAGGUAACGGCUUACCAAGGCAACGAUGCGUAGCCGACCUGAGAGGGUGAUCGGCCACACUGGAACUGAGACACGGUCCAGACUCCUACGGGAGGCAGCAGUAGGGAAUCUUACGCAAUGGGCGAAAGCCUGACGGAGCAACGCCGCGUGAGUGAAGAAGGUCUUCGGAUCGUAAAACUCUGUUAUUAGGGAAGAACAAAUGUGUAAGUAACUAUGCACGUCUUGACGGUACCUAAUCAGAAAGCCACGGCUAACUACGUG
This 497-nucleotide ribosomal RNA is filed under the name uncultured bacterium. RNAcentral describes it as "partial 16S ribosomal RNA". It matches the Rfam family "Bacterial small subunit ribosomal RNA", at positions 28 to 507 of the family's 1533-position model. The record is from RNAcentral.